RNAcentral lists this ribosomal RNA (406 nucleotides) under uncultured bacterium. RNAcentral describes it as "bacterial SSU rRNA". It matches the Rfam family "Bacterial small subunit ribosomal RNA", at positions 28 to 435 of the family's 1533-position model. The record is from RNAcentral.
GACGAACGCUGGCGGCGUGCUUAACACAUGCAAGUCGAGCGGUAAGGCCCUUUCGGGGGUACGACGAGCGACGAACGGGUGAGUAACACGUGGGUGACCUGCCCUCAGCUCUGGGAUAAGCCUGGGAAACCGGGUCUAAUACCGGAUAUGACUCCAUGACGCAUGUUGUGGGGUGGAAAGCCUUGUGCGGCUGAGGAUGGGCCCGCGGCCUAUCAGCUUGUUGGUGGGGUGAGGCCUACCAAGGCGACGACGGGUAGCCGGCCUGAGAGGGCGACCGGCCACACUGGGACUGAGACACGGCCCAGACUCCUACGGGAGGCAGCAGUGGGGAAUCUUGCGCAAUGGGCGAAAGCCUGACGCAGCGACGCCGCGUGAGGGAUGACGGCCUCGGUGUAACGUACUUCUA